This 347-nucleotide unclassified non-coding RNA is filed under the name soil metagenome. Its description in RNAcentral is "partial contains 5.8S ribosomal RNA, internal transcribed spacer 2, and large subunit ribosomal RNA". The stretch from base 1 to 120 matches the Rfam family "5.8S ribosomal RNA", at positions 35 to 154 of the family's 154-position model. The record is from RNAcentral.
GAUGAAGAACGUAGCGAAAUGCGAUAAAUAAUGUGAAUUGCAGAAUUCAGUGAAUCAUCGAGUCUUUGAACGCACAUUGCGCCCCCUGGUAUUCCGGGGGGCAUGCCUGUCCGAGCGUCAUUGCUGCCCUCAAGCACGGCUUGUGUGUUGGGCCCCCGUCCCCCCCUCCCGGGGGACGGGCCCGAAAGGCAGCGGCGGCACCGCGUCCGGUCCUCGAGCGUAUGGGGCUUCGUCACCCGCUCUUGUAGGCCCGGCCGGCGCUUGCCGACACAUCAAUCUUUUUUCCAGGUUGACCUCGGAUCAGGUAGGGAUACCCGCUGAACUUAAGCAUAUCAAUAAGCGGAGGA